Molecule: ribosomal RNA, 253 nt
Filed under: uncultured bacterium
Lineage: Bacteria
Description: partial 16S ribosomal RNA
Rfam family: Bacterial small subunit ribosomal RNA
Source: RNAcentral
UACGUAGGGUGCAAGCGUUAAUCGGAAUUACUGGGCGUAAAGCGUGCGCAGGCGGUUUUGUAAGACAGGCGUGAAAUCCCCGGGCUCAACCUGGGAAUUGCGCUUGUGACUGCAAGGCUGGAGUGCGGCAGAGGGGGAUGGAAUUCCGCGUGUAGCAGUGAAAUGCGUAGAUAUGCGGAGGAACACCGUUGGCGAAGGCAAUCCCCUGGGCCUGCACUGACGCUCAUGCACGAAAGCGUGGGGAGCAAACAGG